Elaeis guineensis (African oil palm) is the source of this 2890-nucleotide non-coding RNA. The record is from RefSeq and is a predicted model, not a curated record. Lineage: Eukaryota; Viridiplantae; Streptophyta; Magnoliopsida; Arecales; Arecaceae.
GCACUUCUUCCCCACAGCGGUUAACCGCUCCCCCACCCCCUCUCUCUCUCUUCGAAACCCUAGCUCGCUUGAUCUUCCCUUUCCCUUGCGUUUCCACCGGCCGGCCGGAGAUGCCGCCUCGUGCCGUGAAGAAGGCAGCCGCCAAGAGGCGGGCGAAGACCGCGGCGGUCUCGAAUCCAUCGCCGAGCGUCGUGGAGGACGAGGUGGUUCCGAUGGCGGAGGCAUCGCCUCCCCCCGCCGAGAAUAAUCCGGUGGCGGAUUCUGCUCCGGUCCUCACCGUAAAGAAGGAGGCGGUCGUGGAGGAAUUUAUCUCUUCACCGGCCGCCGUAGAGGCCCCGCUUCCCUCCGCCAAGAAGUAUACAGAGGGGGAUUCUGCUCCGGUCCUCACUGUAAAGGAGGAGGCGGUGGUGGAGGAAUUUGUCGCUCCACCAGCCGCCGUAGAAGAGGGGAAAGCCCCAAAAUUGGGGGCUCAGGAUGAAGCAGAUGCGACGAAUGCCCCAGAAGAAGCAGUGAUGGAGGAGAUUGAGGAGGUGGAGGCUGCAGAAGGAACUGUUGAGAAGGUCGAGGUAGAAGUACCUGUAGAGAAGGUUGUUGAAGAAGCGAUCUUGGGGAAUGUUCAGGAUUUUCCAGGCAAUCAAGCGGACGCUGAAGAACCUUUGAAGGUUCCCGGAGUUUCGGCUGAGGCUAAGGAACCUGAUGAUGGAGACAACCAGAUGGAUGUAGAGGAAGUAGUUGAAGUCGAAGCUGUGGAAAGUGAGGUUGAAGGUGCUGAUGAAGAAGGGGAUGUUGGUGCUGGUGAAGAUGAAGAUGCUGAUGGGUUAAAUGAUGCUGAUAACAGUGAAAGCUAUGAUGAUGGAGAAGAUAAUGAAGAAGUUGAGGAAGAAGAUCCCUCUUUAUAUAUGCAGGCAGAUAAUGAAGAAAUUGAAGAAGAAGAAGAAGAAGAUCCCUCUUUAUAUAUGCAGGCCACUAUGACAGAGAGAAAAAAGCAGAAGGAAUUUGAGAUAUUUAUUGGUGGGUUAAAUAAAGAAGCUGUUGAGGAGGAUUUAAUACAAGUCUUUGGUGUGUUUGGGGAGAUUCAGUCUGUUAGGAUAGUUAGAAAUCCAUCAACACAGAAAAGUAAGGGGUUUGCAUUUAUUCGUUACGCUAGUGUUGAGCAUGCAAAGAAGGCUCUUGCUGAGCUAAAAGAUGGGACAGAGGUGAGAGGGAAACAGGUUGGAAUAUCAGCUAGUCAAUAUAAUGACACCCUUUACCUGGGAAACAUCUGCAAGACUUGGACAAAAGAUCAAGUGCUAGAGACAUUAAAAGGCUAUGGAAUUGAACAAGUAGAGCACAUACUCUUGCCUGAUGAUCCCAAUAAUGAAGGGAAAAUCAAGGGCUUUGCUUUCCUUGAAUUCAAUUCUCAUUCUGAUGCGAUGGCAGCAUUUCAGCGGUUAAAAAAACCAGAUGCUGUAUUUGGCUGUGAUAGGAGUGCUAAAGUAGCUUUUGCACAAACUCCAAUGCAUCCAGCUGAGGAAGUUCUGUUACAGGUUAAAACUGUAUUUGUUGAAAGUAUUCCGGUCUCUUGGGAUGAAGAAAAAAUCAAAGAACUUUGCAAACAAUAUGGUGAAGUAGAGAAAGUACAACUAUUUCGGAAGUUCACAACAAGUAAAAAGAAAGAUUUUGGGUUUGUUGAAUUUACUUCUCGAGAAAGUGCUGUAGCUUGUGUGGAAGGAAUAAACAGUGCUCAACUUGGGGAAGGUGAGGUCAAGGUCAAAGCUAAUCUUGCGAAGCCUUUGAAUAAGAGAAGGCUUGCUAAGCAGCGUGCUCGAGGUGGAUUUAAGGUUAAGAAAAAUGAAGAAGUUACUGAAGAGGCUGGUCAGUCCAAGAAGAAAAAACAUUCCAAGUCAAAAGAGGUUCUUAUCAAAGGAAAAGCUCAACACAAAUUAAAAAAUGUUGAAGGGAGCAAGUCAUCUAAGUUCCAAGGCAAGGUUGCAAAGGGUAAACAUGGUCCUCGAAUAAGGCCUGCUAAAGGUAAAAGACGUGGUGGGAGGGGCAUGGACAGUGCCAUUAAUGAGAGGCCAUCAAAGAAGUCACGUAAAAAUCGCAACUUUGGUAACUUGCAUGGUAGACCUUCUGAAGGAUUUGGCAACCAAAGGUACAGUUACUUAGGGCAACCAAAAGUAAACCAUGCCGUGCAACCUACCACCUAUGCUCCAAGAUAUGCACAAGCUGCAACUAGCUACCAGGCUUACACUUAUGCUGAACCUUCUGGUUCUAAAGUUCGUCAAUCUGAUCUGGAACCUCAUGCUGGAUUUAUUCCUGCGGCAAAACCUGUUCAUUAUAGUUAUGGAUAUGAGCAAAGAAGAGCUGGUGCUUAUGAUAACCAAGCAAGGAGUGGUUCUGACUUUGCUGGAGUAUAAAAUUCCUGUUAUGUUCGUCAAAUUGGUGACCUGCAAACUUGGGGGAUAGCUGCACCAGUUACUCAAACAUCCUAUCCUGGGUACUCAAGCUAUGCUGGCUAUGAGGCUGGUUAUGCUUAUCCUGGCAACGGGGCAUAUGGCAGCAGCGCAUAUGGCAGAAGUGCAUAUGCACCUCACAGGACAUAUUACUGAGGUGCAUCUAAAGCUUGCAGUUGCUGGUUAUGAUGUGUGAGAUGGUGGCUGGUUAAGACACCAGAUGUUUCAUUUAUUCUCCCCAAUUUUUUACAGAGGCACUGCCUAUGGUAUAUAUGGUACUAGAGAGAUGGGACAUUGGGUGACUCGAUCUAAUAGUUUAUAUUCGCACCCAAACUCAGAAGUGGCGAAAAUUAUUACAUGCGUGUCCUAUAACUUGCCACAUGAUCUGUAAUACUGGUCUCUCAAAGUCAUUCUAAAAGAUGGAAAUUAGCUCCUUUGCCUUUCACAUGCCAUCA